AAGACUAUAGACCUGCGGAGUACCUGCGGAGGGAUCAUUACCGAGUUUACAACUCCCAAACCCCAUGUGAACAUACCUGUUUCGUUCCCUCGGCGGUGUCCGGCAACGGCCCGCCAGAGGACCCAACAAACUCUUUUGAAUUUUUCAGUAUCUUCUGAGUGAAAAAAACAAUAAAUCAAAACUUUCAGCAAUGGAUCUCU
RNAcentral lists this unclassified non-coding RNA (200 nucleotides) under soil metagenome. RNAcentral's name for it is "partial contains 5.8S ribosomal RNA, internal transcribed spacer 2, and large subunit ribosomal RNA". The record is from RNAcentral.